This 433-nucleotide ribosomal RNA is filed under the name uncultured bacterium. Its description in RNAcentral is "partial 16S ribosomal RNA". It matches the Rfam family "Bacterial small subunit ribosomal RNA", at positions 29 to 507 of the family's 1533-position model. The record is from RNAcentral.
AGCGAACGCUGGCGGCAGGCCUAACACAUGCAAGUCGAACGGAUCCUUCGGGAUUAGUGGCGGACGGGUGAGUAACACGUGGGAACGUGCCCUUUGGUUCGGAACAACCCAGGGAAACUUGAGCUAAUACCGGAUGUGCCCUUCGGGGGAAAGAUUUAUCGCCAUUGGAGCGGCCCGCGUCUGAUUAGCUAGUUGGCGAGGUAACGGCCCACCAAGGCGACGAUCAGUAGCUGGUCUGAGAGGAUGAUCAGCCACACUGGGACUGAGACACGGCCCAGACUCCUACGGGAGGCAGCAGUGGGGAAUCUUGCGCAAUGGGCGAAAGCCUGACGCAGCCAUGCCGCGUGAAUGAUGAAGGUCUUAGGAUUGUAAAAUUCUUUCAGCGGGGACGAUAAUGACGGUACCCGCAGAAGAAGCUCCGGCUAACUUCGUG